This is a ribosomal RNA of 781 nucleotides. The stretch from base 306 to 781 matches the Rfam family "Eukaryotic large subunit ribosomal RNA", at positions 665 to 926 of the family's 3401-position model.
GGGGACGUAACAAAGCGACCCAGGAAUGCUUGGGCGUGCCUCCACCCACGCCGGCGUCGGCGGGCGUAUUUCGCCUCACAGUAGGUCGCCGCGACCCGUUGCUUUUGGGGACGUCGAAGGCCCGGACGGAUUGGUACCCUACCGGCUGGGGAUGCGGCUUCGGCUUCUCCUCUUGUCCGGUGGGCGAAACCGCCGGUGUCCUGGCUGCCCUGCGACGGUCGUAGAGACGAGCCCUCCCCUUCGGGGGGGCGGCUCUCGCGGCGUGCAAAAGGUCGGUGAUCCACCCGACCCGUCUUGAAACACGGACCAAGGAGUCUAACAUGUGUGCGAGUCAGUGGGCGCACUAAACCCAGAGGCGUAAUGAAAGUGACACGGGUUCGGCUGUCGCCUCGUGUGGCAGCCGGACUCAGGGCCGAUCCCUCACCGGUUGUCCUCGCCUUUCUCCCGCGUCUCGGUAAGCCGGGUGAGCUAUUUUCCCCGGCCGCUGCUGCGGGGCUCGGGGGGAGGCGGGGUGCGAUGGUGUCUGUAAAAAAGAGCCUGCUGUUGCAGGGGGGCGCAGGCCCGGGACUUGCCAGGACGCCGCGAGACUGUCACUUUGCUGUGAGGCUCUCGGGCCGAUCAGCGGGUCAUGCGUGCAGUCGGCAAGUACCAUGAGCAGACAUGUUGGGACCCGAAAGAUGGUGAACUAUGCCUGGCCAGGAUGAAGCCAGAGGAAACUCUGGUGGAGGUCCGUAGCGAUUCUGACGUGCAAAUCGAUCGUCGGAGCUGGGUAUAGGGGCGA